CCUACGGGAGACAGCAGUGGGGAAUAUUGGGCAAUGGACGCAAGUCUGACCCAGCAAAGCCGCGUGAAGGAAGAAGGCUCUCGGGUUGUAAACUUCUUUUAAGCGGGAAGAGCAGAAGACGGUACCUCUUGAAUAAGCCACGGCUAACUACGUGCCAGCAGCCGCGGUAGUACGUAGGGUGCAAGAGUUGUCCGGAAUUACUGGGUGUAAAGGGCGUGCAGCCGGGGAGACAUGUCCGAUGUGAAAUCCACGGGCUCAACCCGGGAACUGCAUUUGAAACUGGUCGCCUUGUGUGUCGGAGAGGUAAGCGGAAUGCCUUGUGUAGCGGUGAAAUGCGUAGAUAUAAGGAAGAACACCAGUGGCGAAGGCAGAUUACUGGACGAUAACUGACGGUGAGGCGCGAAAGCGUGGGGAGCAAACAGGAUUAGAUACCCGUGUAGUC
This 442-nucleotide ribosomal RNA is filed under the name uncultured bacterium. RNAcentral describes it as "partial 16S ribosomal RNA". It matches the Rfam family "Bacterial small subunit ribosomal RNA", at positions 338 to 795 of the family's 1533-position model. The record is from RNAcentral.